RNAcentral lists this non-coding RNA (31 nucleotides) under Homo sapiens (human). The record is from RNAcentral. Lineage: Eukaryota; Metazoa; Chordata; Mammalia; Primates; Hominidae.
AGACACGCAUCCAGCCGGUUCAAGGGCUUGU